CUGCUGCCUCCCGUAGGAGUUUGGACCGUGUCUCAAUUCCAAUGUGGGGGACCUUCCUCUCAGAACCCCUAUCCAUCGUCGUCUUGGUGGGCCGUUACCCCGCCAACUAACUAAUGGAACGCAUCCCCAUCGAUAACCGAAAUUCUUUAAUAUCAAGAUCAUGCGAUCUUGAUAUCCUAUCGGAUAUUAAUCUUUCUUUCGAAAGGCUAUCCCCGAGUUAUCGGCAGGUUGGAUACGUGUUACUCACCCGUGCGCCGGUCGCCA
This 264-nucleotide ribosomal RNA is filed under the name uncultured bacterium. RNAcentral's name for it is "partial 16S ribosomal RNA". The record is from RNAcentral.